GCGAGCGAACGGGGAGGAGCCCAGAGCCUGAAUCAGUGUGUGUGUUAGUGGAAGCGUCUGGAAAGGCGUGCGAUACAGGGUGACAGCCCCGUACACAAAAAUGCACAUAUUGUGAGCUCGAUGAGUAGGGCGGGACACGUGGUAUCCUGUCUGAAUAUGGGGGGACCAUCCUCCAAGGCUAAAUACUCCUGACUGACCGAUAGUGAACCAGUACCGUGAGGGAAAGGCGAAAAGAACCCCGGCGAGGGGAGUGAAAAAGAACCUGAAACCGUGUACGUACAAGCAGUGGGAGCCUCUUUAUGGGGUGACUGCGUACCUUUUGUAUAAUGGGUCAGCGACUUAUAUUCUGUAGCAAGGUUAACCGAAUAGGGGAGCCGAAGGGAAACCGAGUCUUAACUGGGCGUUAAGUUGCAGGGUAUAGACCCGAAACCCGGUGAUCUAGCCAUGGGCAGGUUGAAGGUUGGGUAACACUAACUGGAGGACCGAACCGACUAAUGUUGAAAAAUUAGCGGAUGACUUGUGGCUGGGGGUGAAAGGCCAAUCAAACCGGGAGAUAGCUGGUUCUCCCCGAAAGCUAUUUAGGUAGCGCCUCGUGAAUUCAUCUCCGGGGGUAGAGCACUGUUUCGGCAAGGGGGUCAUCCCGACUUACCAACCCGAUGCAAACUGCGAAUACCGGAGAAUGUUAUCACGGGAGACACACGGCGGGUGCUAACGUCCGUCGUGAAGAGGGAAACAACCCAGACCGCCAGCUAAGGUCCCAAAGUCAUGGUUAAGUGGGAAACGAUGUGGGAAGGCCCAGACAGCCAGGAUGUUGGCUUAGAAGCAGCCAUCAUUUAAAGAAAGCGUAAUAGCUCACUGGUCGAGUCGGCCUGCGCGGAAGAUGUAACGGGGCUAAACCAUGCACCGAAGCUGCGGCAGCGACACUAUGUGUUGUUGGGUAGGGGAGCGUUCUGUAAGCCUGUGAAGGUGGCCUGUGAGGGUUGCUGGAGGUAUCAGAAGUGCGAAUGCUGACAUAAGUAACGAUAAAGCGGGUGAAAAGCCCGCUCGCCGGAAGACCAAGGGUUCCUGUCCAACGUUAAUCGGGGCAGGGUGAGUCGACCCCUAAGGCGAGGCCGAAAGGCGUAGUCGAUGGGAAACAGGUUAAUAUUCCUGUACUUGGUGUUACUGCGAAGGGGGGACGGAGAAGGCUAUGUUGGCCGGGCGACGGUUGUCCCGGUUUAAGCGUGUAGGCUGGUUUUCCAGGCAAAUCCGGAAAACCAAGGCUGAGGCGUGAUGACGAGGCACUACGGUGCUGAAGCGACAAAUGCCCUGCUUCCAGGAAAAGCCUCUAAGCAUCAGGUAACAUCAAAUCGUACCCCAAACCGACACAGGUGGUCAGGUAGAGAAUACCAAGGCGCUUGAGAGAACUCGGGUGAAGGAACUAGGCAAAAUGGUGCCGUAACUUCGGGAGAAGGCACGCUGAUAUGUAGGUGAAGCGACUUGCUCGUGGAGCUGAAAUCAGUCGAAGAUACCAGCUGGCUGCAACUGUUUAUUAAAAACACAGCACUGUGCAAACACGAAAGUGGACGUAUACGGUGUGACGCCUGCCCGGUGCCGGAAGGUUAAUUGAUGGGGUUAGCGGUAACGCGAAGCUCUUGAUCGAAGCCCCGGUAAACGGCGGCCGUAACUAUAACGGUCCUAAGGUAGCGAAAUUCCUUGUCGGGUAAGUUCCGACCUGCACGAAUGGCGUAAUGAUGGCCAGGCUGUCUCCACCCGAGACUCAGUGAAAUUGAACUCGCUGUGAAGAUGCAGUGUACCCGCGGCAAGACGGAAAGACCCCGUGAACCUUUACUAUAGCUUGACACUGAACAUUGAGCCUUGAUGUGUAGGAUAGGUGGGAGGCUUUGAAGUGUGGACGCCAGUCUGCAUGGAGCCGACCUUGAAAUACCACCCUUUAAUGUUUGAUGUUCUAACGUUGGCCCGUAAUCCGGGUUGCGGACAGUGUCUGGUGGGUAGUUUGACUGGGGCGGUCUCCUCCUAAAGAGUAACGGAGGAGCACGAAGGUUGGCUAAUCCUGGUCGGACAUCAGGAGGUUAGUGCAAUGGCAUAAGCCAGCUUGACUGCGAGCGUGACGGCGCGAGCAGGUGCGAAAGCAGGUCAUAGUGAUCCGGUGGUUCUGAAUGGAAGGGCCAUCGCUCAACGGAUAAAAGGUACUCCGGGGAUAACAGGCUGAUACCGCCCAAGAGUUCAUAUCGACGGCGGUGUUUGGCACCUCGAUGUCGGCUCAUCACAUCCUGGGGCUGAAGUAGGUCCCAAGGGUAUGGCUGUUCGCCAUUUAAAGUGGUACGCGAGCUGGGUUUAGAACGUCGUGAGACAGUUCGGUCCCUAUCUGCCGUGGGCGCUGGAGAACUGAGGGGGGCUGCUCCUAGUACGAGAGGACCGGAGUGGACGCAUCACUGGUGUUCGGGUUGUCAUGCCAAUGGCACUGCCCGGUAGCUAAAUGCGGAAGAGAUAAGUGCUGAAAGCAUCUAAGCACGAAACUUGC
Molecule: ribosomal RNA, 2524 nt
Filed under: Escherichia coli
Lineage: Bacteria; Pseudomonadati; Pseudomonadota; Gammaproteobacteria; Enterobacterales; Enterobacteriaceae
Description: partial 23S ribosomal RNA
Rfam family: Bacterial large subunit ribosomal RNA
Source: RNAcentral